GACGAACGCUGGCGGCGUGCUUAACACAUGCAAGUGGAGCGACGAACCAGGCUUCGGCCUGGGGCAGAGCCGCGAACGGGUGAGUAACACGUGGGUAACCUGCCCUGAUGAUCGGGACAACCCGGGGAACCGGGCUAAUACCGAAUGUGCCCGCGAGCCGCAAGGCUUGCGAGGAAAGGAAGCUUCGGCCUCCGCAUCGGGAUGGGCCCGCGGCCCAUUAGCUUGUUGGGUGGGGUAACGGCCUACCAAGGCAGCAAUGGGUAGCUGGUCUGAGAGGACGAUCAGCCACACUGGGACUGAGACACGG
Molecule: ribosomal RNA, 307 nt
Filed under: uncultured bacterium
Lineage: Bacteria
Description: bacterial SSU rRNA
Rfam family: Bacterial small subunit ribosomal RNA
Source: RNAcentral